This 322-nucleotide ribosomal RNA is filed under the name uncultured Chloroflexota bacterium. RNAcentral's name for it is "bacterial SSU rRNA". It matches the Rfam family "Bacterial small subunit ribosomal RNA", at positions 28 to 351 of the family's 1533-position model. Lineage: Bacteria; Bacillati; Chloroflexota. The record is from RNAcentral.
GAUGAACGCUGGCGGCGUGCCUAAUACAUGCAAGUCGAACGGAGGAUGUAGCAAUACUUCCUUAGUGGCGAACGGGUGAGUAACGCGUUGGUGACCUGCCCCGAAGAGAGGGAUAACAGUUCGAAAGAACUGCUAAUACCUCAUGUGGUCAUUAGGGUUUGAGACCUGAUGAUUAAAGGAGUAAUUCACUUCGGGAGGGGCCUGCGUCCCAUCAGCUAGUUGGUAAGGUAACGGCUUACCAAGGCGAUGACGGGUAGGGGACCUGAGAGGGUGGCCCCCCACAAUGGAACUGAAACACGGUCCAUACUCCUACGGGAGGCAG